GUCAAGUGAAGAAGCGCAUACGGUGGAUGCCUUGGCAGUCAGAGGCGAUGAAAGACGUGACAGCCUGCGAAAAGCGUCGGGGAGGCGGCAAUAUCCUGUGAUCCGGCGAUAUCUGAAUGGGGAAACCCACUUGUCAUAAGACAGGUAUCGUAAAUUUAUUUACGAGGCAAACCGGGAGAAGUGAAACAUCUCAGUAACCCGAGGAAAAGACAUCAAUAGAGAUUCCCCUAGUAGCGGCGAGCGAACGGGGAGGAGCCGACUGAUUAUAAUUUAGAGGAAUGACUUGGAAAGGUCAAUCGUAGAGGGUGAUAAUCCCGUACUCGAAAGGUUAUAAGAAGCAUAUUAAGUAGGGCGGAACACGAGAAAUUCUGUCUGAAGAUGGGGGGACCAUCCUCCAAGGCUAAAUACUCCUGACUGACCGAUAGUGAACCAGUACCGUGAGGGAAAGGCGAAAAGAACCCCGGGAGGGGAGUGAAAUAGAUCCUGAAACCGCAUGCAUACAAGCAGUGGGAGCCGACUUGUUCGGUGACUGCGUACCUUUUGUAUAAUGGGUCAGCGACUUACAUUCAGUGGCAAGGUUAACCGAAUAGGGAAGCCGUAGAGAAAUCGAGUCCGAAUAGGGCGAAUCAGUCGCUGGGUGUAGACCCGAAACCAAGUGAUCUAUCCAUGGCCAGGAUGAAGGUGCCGUAACAGGUACUGGAGGUCCGAACCCACUACUGUUGCAAAAGUAGGGGAUGAGCUGUG
This 744-nucleotide ribosomal RNA is filed under the name uncultured Isochrysis. Its description in RNAcentral is "partial Bacterial large subunit ribosomal RNA". It matches the Rfam family "Bacterial large subunit ribosomal RNA", at positions 1 to 813 of the family's 2925-position model. Lineage: Eukaryota; Haptophyta; Isochrysidales. The record is from RNAcentral.